UGUUAUGCAAGCAUAGUUCACCAUCUUUCGGGUCCUAGCAACAAUGCUCACAUUCAAAUUAUCAACAAACUGAAAAUUGAUUGGUGGUGAUGUCAUGAAACAGUCAUGUUCAUUACAUGCAAGUCUUGACACAAAGUCAGUUUGCACACUUGCCANACUCCUUGGUCCGUGUUUCAAGACGGGUCAAGUGA
RNAcentral lists this ribosomal RNA (191 nucleotides) under Ostreopsis cf. siamensis. Its description in RNAcentral is "partial large subunit ribosomal RNA". The record is from RNAcentral. Lineage: Eukaryota; Dinophyceae; Peridiniales; Ostreopsidaceae.